This 468-nucleotide ribosomal RNA is filed under the name uncultured bacterium. Its description in RNAcentral is "partial 16S ribosomal RNA". It matches the Rfam family "Bacterial small subunit ribosomal RNA", at positions 28 to 507 of the family's 1533-position model. The record is from RNAcentral.
GACGACCGCUGGCGACGUGCUUAACACAUGCAAGUCGAACGGAAAGGCCCUGCUUUUGUGGGGUGCUCGAGUGGCGAACGGGUGAGUAACACGUGAGUAACCUGCCCUUGACUUUGGGAUAACUUCAGGAAACUGGGGCUAAUACCGGAUAGGAGCUCCUGCUGCAUGGUGGGGGUUGGAAAGUUUCGGCGGUUGGGGAUGGACUCGCGGCUUAUCAGCUUGUUGGUGGGGUAGUGGCUUACCAAGGCUUUGACGGGUAGCCGGCCUGAGAGGGUGACCGGCCACAUUGGGACUGAGAUACGGCCCAGACUCCUACGGGAGGCAGCAGUGGGGAAUAUUGCACAAUGGGCGGAAGCCUGAUGCAGCAACGCCGCGUGCGGGAUGACGGCCUUCGGGUUGUAAACCGCUUUCGCCUGUGACGAAGCGUGAGUGACGGUAAUGGGUAAAGAAGCACCGGCUAACUACGUG